RNAcentral lists this ribosomal RNA (253 nucleotides) under uncultured bacterium. RNAcentral's name for it is "partial 16S ribosomal RNA". It matches the Rfam family "Bacterial small subunit ribosomal RNA", at positions 524 to 776 of the family's 1533-position model. The record is from RNAcentral.
UACGUAGGGGGCAAGCGUUGUCCGGAAUCAUUGGGCGUAAAGAGCGUGUAGGCGGCCUGAUAAGUCGGCUGUGAAAGUCAAGGGCUCAACCCUUGAAUGCCGGCCGAUACUGUCAGGCUAGAGUCCGGAAGAGGCGAGUGGAAUUCCUGGUGUAGCGGUGAAAUGCGCAGAUAUCAGGAGGAACACCGAUGGCGAAGGCAGCUCGCUGGGACGGUACUGACGCUGAGACGCGAAAGCGUGGGAAGCGAACAGG